CGAACGGUAACAGGAAGCAGCUUGCUGCUUCGCUGACGAGUGGCGGACGGGUGAGUAAUGUCUGGGAAGCUGCCUGAUGGAGGGGGAUAACUACUGGAGACGGUAGCUAAUACCGCAUAAUGUCGCAAGACCAAAGAGGGGGACCUUCGGGCCUCUUGCCAUCGGAUGUGCCCAGAUGGGAUUAGCUUGUUGGUGGGGUAACGGCUCACCAAGGCGACGAUCCCUAGCUGGUCUGAGAGGAUGACCAGCCACACUGGAACUGAGACACGGUCCAGACUCCUACGGGAGGCAGCAGUGGGGAAUAUUGCACAAUGGGCGCAAGCCUGAUGCAGCCAUGCCGCGUGUAUGAAGAAGGCCUUCGGGUUGUAAAGUACUUUCAGCGGGGAGGAAGGGAGUAAAGUUAAUACCUUUGCUCAUUGACGUUACCCGCAGAAGAAGCACCGGCUAACUCCGUGCCAGCAGCCGCGGUAAUACGGAGGGUGCAAGCGUUAAUCGGAAUUACUGGGCGUAAAGCGCACGCAGGCGGUUUGUUAAGUCAGAUGUGAAAUCCCCGGGCUCAACCUGGGAACUGCAUCUGAUACUGGCAAGCUUGAGUCUCGUAGAGGGGGGUAGAAUUCCAGGUGUAGCGGUGAAAUGCGUAGAGAUCUGGAGGAAUACCGGUGGCGAAGGCGGCCCCCUGGACGAAGACUGACGCUCAGGUGCGAAAGCGUGGGGAGCAAACAGGAUUAGAUACCCUGGUAGUCCACGCCGUAAACGAUGUCGACUUGGAGGUUGUGCCCUUGAGGCGUGGCUUCCGGAGCUAACGCGUUAAGUCGACCGCCUGGGGAGUACGGCCGCAAGGUUAAAACUCAAAUGAAUUGACGGGGGCCCGCACAAGCGGUGGAGCAUGUGGUUUAAUUCGAUGCAACGCGAAGAACCUUACCUGGUCUUGACAUCCACGGAAGUUUUCAGAGAUGAGAAUGUGCCUUCGGGAACCGUGAGACAGGUGCUGCAUGGCUGUCGUCAGCUCGUGUUGUGAAAUGUUGGGUUAAGUCCCGCAACGAGCGCAACCCUUAUCCUUUGUUGCCAGCGGUCCGGCCGGGAACUCAAAGGAGACUGCCAGUGAUAAACUGGAGGAAGGUGGGGAUGACGUCAAGUCAUCAUGGCCCUUACGACCAGGGCUACACACGUGCUACAAUGGCGCAUACAAAGAGAAGCGACCUCGCGAGAGCAAGCGGACCUCAUAAAGUGCGUCGUAGUCCGGAUUGGAGUCUGCAACUCGACUCCAUGAAGUCGGAAUCGCUAGUAAUCGUGGAUCUGAAUGCCACGGUGAAUACGUUCCCGGGCCUUGUACACACCGCCCGUCACACCAUGGGAGUGGGUUGCAAAAGAAGUAGGUAGCUUAACCUUCGGGAGGGCGCUUACCACUUUGUGAUUCAUGACUGGGGUGAAGUCGUAACAAGGUAACCGUAGGGGAACCUGCGGUUG
Molecule: ribosomal RNA, 1467 nt
Filed under: metagenome
Description: bacterial SSU rRNA
Rfam family: Bacterial small subunit ribosomal RNA
Source: RNAcentral